Molecule: long non-coding RNA, 187 nt
Organism: Telopea speciosissima
Lineage: Eukaryota; Viridiplantae; Streptophyta; Magnoliopsida; Proteales; Proteaceae
Exons: 4
Source: RefSeq, a predicted model, not a curated record
UACAGUGAAACCAGAUGCAUCAUGGGUUUGAAGAGACCCUACAAUAGGUUUUGGCUAGUACACCAACCCCAAACCCAUGAAUCUAUGAGCCCAUUCUAGCAUUAAACCAUGUAGACUGACACCUAGGAUUUCAAGUGGCCAAAACGCUAAAUGCUUAUUUACUGACUACAAGGUUCUUUCCUGGGAC